Molecule: ribosomal RNA, 775 nt
Filed under: uncultured Neocallimastigales
Lineage: Eukaryota; Fungi; Neocallimastigomycota; Neocallimastigomycetes; Neocallimastigales
Description: partial large subunit ribosomal RNA
Rfam family: Eukaryotic large subunit ribosomal RNA
Source: RNAcentral
CUAUACAUGACUCUGCGCAUAUCAAUAAGCGGAGGAAAAGAAACUAACAAGGAUUCCCCUAGUAACGGCGAGUGAAGCGGGAAGAGCUCAAAUUUGAAAUCUUAAAGGGCUUCCCUUUACGAAUUGUAGUUUAAAGAAGUGUUUUCUGUUGAGGUUUUGGUAAAAGUUCUUUGGAAUAGGACAUCAUAGAGGGUGAGAAUCCCGUAUUUGACCUUUACUUUCAACUUUGUGAUACACUUUCAAAGAGUCGGAUUGUUUGGGAAUGCAGUCCAAAAUGGGUGGUAAAUUUCAUCUAAAGCUAAAUAUUGGCGAGAGACCGAUAGCGAACAAGUACCGUGAGGGAAAGAUGAAAAGAACUUUGAAAAGAGAGUUAAACAGUACGUGAAAUUGUCAAAAGGGAAGCGUUUGACAGCCAGUGUUGUUUUUCUGAAAAUCAAUUAAAGAACUGUUUAUGCUAAGCUGUUUAGACUUUAUCAGCUAUCUGUUUAGUUUUGAGCUUUUCUUUAAUGCACUUUUCAGUUAACAAGUCAACAUCAAUUUCUUUUGCUGUAAAAAAGCUUGAGGAAGGUGGCUUGAGAUUCGUCUUAAGUGUUUAUAGCCUCUUGCCUAUGCAGUCGGAGAGAUUGAGGUCUGCAGCGUAGAUCCUUCGGGGCUAAAUGCAUUUGUGCUAAGUUAUAGCAUUUUAUAGACAACUUGUUGACUAUGAUUUGUCUUGUAGCUUACUCGCUUAUGUUAUUUUACCUACGCUUAGGAUGUUGAUCUACAGAGCGAGAGU